AACGUAGGAGGCGAGCGUUAUCCGGAUUUACUGGGUGUAAAGCGCGUGCAGGCGGUUUGUUAAGUUGGAUGUGAAAGCUCCUGGCUCAACUGGGAGAGGUCGUUCAAGACUGGCAGACUGGAGAGCAGUAGGGGAAGAUGGAAUUCCGGGUGUAGUGGUGAAAUGCGUAGAUAUCCGGAGGAACACCAGUGGCGAAGGCGGUCUUCUAGACUGCAUCUGACGCUCAGACGCGACAGCUAGGGUAGCAAAC
RNAcentral lists this ribosomal RNA (250 nucleotides) under uncultured bacterium. RNAcentral's name for it is "partial 16S ribosomal RNA". It matches the Rfam family "Bacterial small subunit ribosomal RNA", at positions 524 to 773 of the family's 1533-position model. The record is from RNAcentral.